Molecule: long non-coding RNA, 494 nt
Filed under: Homo sapiens (human)
Lineage: Eukaryota; Metazoa; Chordata; Mammalia; Primates; Hominidae
Description: non-protein coding lnc-PRDM11-3:8
Source: RNAcentral
AGAUGCUGAGCGCUGAAAUUCUCAUCCGCCACACACAACAUGGCGGCUUCCUGGACCCGCGCCCAAUUUUCGCUUCCGGGAUGGAAGCUACGUCAUUUCCCCCUCUGUUGCCCUAGCGCCCCUUGGAAGCCAAGAAUAUGAGGAAGUCUUCUUCCUUCGCGCCUUCUUCUUCCUUACGCUCCAGGGCAGCCUGACAGAGCCGCUCGAAGGCUCUGCUGGCCGCGGCUAGCCGGGUGCAGCAGAAGUCUCAGGUAGCUGAGAAGUUCAUGGAAUCUUCUUAUUUGCUACACCUUUCACUACUGCUUGUGAUAUAGUGCAGGGUUGGGAUGUGCAGACAUUUCUCAAGUGCACUGUGUACCUACACAGCAUGCUGCAAUUUGGCUACUGAAGUCAAGAGAAACUGGUUUGAACAACUACUGAGUGUAACAUAGGAAGCGCAUUUCAUUUGAUAACAGGAACACAGCUUUUGUGCUAAUAAAAUGCUUUGAAAAUUA